RNAcentral lists this ribosomal RNA (559 nucleotides) under uncultured bacterium. Its description in RNAcentral is "partial 16S ribosomal RNA". It matches the Rfam family "Bacterial small subunit ribosomal RNA", at positions 355 to 1375 of the family's 1533-position model. The record is from RNAcentral.
UGGGGAAUAUUGGACAAUGGGGGAAACCCUGAUCCAGCAAUGCCGCGUGAGUGAUGAGGCCUUCGGGUUGUAAAGCUCUUUUGUCAGGGAAGAUGAUGACGGUACCUGACGAAUAAGCUCCGGCUAACUUCGUGCCAGCAGCCGCGGUAAUACGAAGGGAGCUAGCGUUGUUCGGAAUUACUGGGCGUAAAGGGCGCGUAGGCGGCCUUGUAAGUUAGAUGUGAAAGCCCCGGGCUUAACCUGGGAACUGCAUUUAAGACUGCAAAGCUUGAGGACGAGAGAGGAAAGUGGAAUUGUGAGUGUAGAGGUGAAAUUCGUAGAUAUUCACAAGAACACCAGUGGCGAAGGCGACUUUCUGGCUCGUAUCUGACGCUAAGGCGCGAAAGCGUGGGGAGCAAAACAGGAUUAGAUACCCUGGUAGUCCACGCUGUAAACGAUGAGUGCUAGAUGUUGGUCUUCGGAUCAGUAUCGCAGCUAACGCAUUAAGCACUCCGCCUGGGGGAGUACGGCCGCAAGAUUAAAAACUCAAAAUGAAUUGACGGGGUCAUAGCUGUUUCCU